GCUCUGAGUCGGAUCUGCGGGAGCACGUGUCAGUCCCGCGCCCGCCCAGGGAGAGCGCAGGCUCUGAGUCGGAUCUGCGGGAGCACGUGUCAGCUCCCCUAGUCUCUCUGAGCCUCACUCCCUUGCCUGUGAACAGGGGGUCAUAGCAGCAUCUGCCUUAUUCUGAGGAGAGAGUGAUUCACGCAUCAAGCUCAUGCCUGCACUGCAGCAGGUGUUCAGCUAACCGUGCCGCCGCGUAUCAUCAGCCUAAGGCCCGCGCAUCUCACCACCGCCCUACCCGCCCGGCGCGUCUCCAGCUGCGCCUCCUCCCCCUGGGAGGCGAAUGUUGCCAGAAGCCUCAGCACGCGCUGAGCCCUGGCCCCUUCUUUCUCUCAUUCUUGCACCCGUUGUCUGGUGGGUGCCUGUCACAUGCCAGGUGCAGCUCCAAGUGUCAGCGCACGGUGACAUGAGGAUAAGGGUCCCAGCCUCCUGGAGCUGACGUUCCAGUCGGGGAAGCGGACAGCUUAGCAGCAAGCACAUGACCACGCCAGCUCAGCCUAAGCAGUGCCCUUUUAAGCAUUCAACAAACGUCUGAAAUGUAUAUUGCGAGCUGAACACCUAGCUGGGCACAGCACGGGCGAGACACUUGGGUGCCCUGGAGGCUUCCCUGCCUCGGCUCUCCCCCUCUGUCAUGGGCAGGCUGGACUGGGGGCCAGGUUCAUCCACCUGCGAGACACCUCUCUUCUAGAGUUCUGAUGAGGCUGGAGAAGUCUCAACUACCUCGGCAUCUGCGGGAGUAUGGAGAAGCCAUGCAGUCCAGAGGAAAGGGUGUGGGCUCUGGAGGCAGAUCACUGGCCAGCUCUACGACCUG
Molecule: non-coding RNA, 850 nt
Organism: Microcebus murinus (gray mouse lemur)
Lineage: Eukaryota; Metazoa; Chordata; Mammalia; Primates; Cheirogaleidae
Source: RefSeq, a predicted model, not a curated record